Molecule: small nuclear RNA, 201 nt
Filed under: Echinops telfairi (small Madagascar hedgehog)
Lineage: Eukaryota; Metazoa; Chordata; Mammalia; Afrosoricida; Tenrecidae
Description: U2 spliceosomal RNA (ENSETEG00000024023.1)
Rfam family: U2 spliceosomal RNA
About the family: U2 is a small nuclear RNA (snRNA) component of the spliceosome (involved in pre-mRNA splicing). Complementary binding between U2 snRNA (in an area lying towards the 5' end but 3' to hairpin I) and the branchpoint sequence (BPS) of the intron results the bulging out of an unpaired adenosine, on the BPS, which initiates a nucleophilic attack at the intronic 5' splice site, thus starting the first of two transesterification reactions that mediate splicing.
Source: RNAcentral
AUGGCUUCUCGGCCUUUUGGCUAAGAUCAAGUGUAGUAUCUGGUGCUUUAUCAUUUUAAUAUCUGAUACGUCCUCUAUCCCGAGGACAAUUAUAUUAAAUGGGAUUUUUGUAAUUAGGAGGAUGGGAGUAAGAGCUUGCUCCCGUCACUUCAAUGUUAUCGACCUGUAUUGCCAGUAACCUCCAGAAACAGUGCACUCCCC